Molecule: transfer RNA, 74 nt
Filed under: Eubacteriales bacterium
Lineage: Bacteria; Bacillati; Bacillota; Clostridia; Eubacteriales
Description: tRNA-Gly
Rfam family: tRNA
About the family: Transfer RNA (tRNA) molecules are approximately 80 nucleotides in length. Their secondary structure includes four short double-helical elements and three loops (D, anti-codon, and T loops).
Source: RNAcentral
GCGGGUGUAGUUCAAUGGUAGGAUCCCAGCCUUCCAAGCUGGUCGUGUGGGUUCGAUUCCCAUCACCCGCUCCA